This is an RNA transcript of Quercus lobata, 1918 nucleotides long. It is a transcript of the gene named 3-ketoacyl-CoA synthase 7-like, with no coding region annotated. Lineage: Eukaryota; Viridiplantae; Streptophyta; Magnoliopsida; Fagales; Fagaceae. The record is from RefSeq and is a predicted model, not a curated record. The transcript has a single exon.
UUAUCCAGGAAUUUGACAAUGGAGACUGUCUUGCUUAGAUAUUUAUCUUUUACAAACCUAUCUAUUGUUACAGAAUUCCCAAUAUCCCUCAUCCAUCUCUUAGCUAUAACUGCUUUAAUCAUUGCAAUUAUCUGUUUUACUUCCAAAUCUAAUUCUGUUUACCUUGUUGAUUUUUCCUGUUAUCUACCUCCCGAUAGUUUGCAAGUUCCAAAUGCUAAUUUUAUUGAACACAGUGAAGCAUCUAAUAUCUUUGACCAAGAAAGUAUCAAUUUCCAAAUGAAAAUAUUGGAAAGAUCAGGUAUUGGAUUUGAGACUUGCAUGCCUAUUGCAGUUCAUGAGAUCCCACCAAAUUCUUCUUUUUACAAAGCUCAAGAGGAAACUGAAAUGGUUGUCCACAAUAGUCAAAGACCUUCUUUCCAAGCACAACAUAAAUCCUAAAAGCAUUGACAUUCUUGUAUCCAACUGUAGCCUUUUCUGCCCUAAACCAUCCCUUACAUCUAUGAUCAUAAACAAGUUUGGAUUCAGAAGCAAUGUAAAGAGUGUCAGCCUCAGGGGAAUGGAUUGCAGUGCUGGAAUGUUAUCAAUUAGUCUGGUUAAAGAUCUUCUAAAAGUUCACAAAAAUUCAGUAGCUUUAGUUCUCAGCAUGGAAGUUGUAACUCCCAAUGGUUAUAAUGGUAAAGUUAAGUCCAUGCAUAUGGCCAACAUUUUGUUUCGGAUGGGAGGAGCAGCUAUUUUACUUUCUAAUAGAAAGCAAGACAAGCACAAGGCUAAGUACAAACUUCAGAACCUUGUGAGAACACACUUGGGGUCUGAUGACCGAGCUUACCAGUCUGUUCACCAACAACCUGACGAAGCCGGGAAAGUUGGAAUGUCUCUAUCACAAGAACUUCUACAUGUGGCAGCAAAAGCAUUAAGGACAAACAUAUCAGAAUUAAGCCCACUUGUCUUGCCAUACUCCGAGCGACUCCAGUAUGGAUGGUCAGUGAUUAAGCAAAAAAUAUGGUUUUUAGCAGGCCAGAAGGGAACUUAUGUGCCAAAUUUCAAAGGCUUUCGAGCAUUUCUGUAUACAUGCUGGUGGAAAGGCAGUAAUUGAUGCCAUAGAGGACAAUCUCAGGCUACACAAGGAAGAUGCAGAAGCAUCAAGAAUGACAUUAUAUAGGUUUGGCAACACCUCAUCUUCAUCACUUUGGUAUGAGCUGAGCUAUCUGGAGGCAAAAGGAAGAGUGAAGAAGGGAGAUCGUGUUUGGCAAAUUUCCUUUGGAAGUGGCUUCAUGUGUAACAGUGCAGUUUGGAAAUGCAUAACAAAUGUGGACCCAAAUUUAAGAAAUUCAUGGUCAGACAGAAUCCAUUUGUAUCCUGUUGAGAUCCCAGAGGUGUGUGAUCAUUGACUAUCACCAAAGAUGCUAUGAAGAUCUCUUUAUGGAUUUUGAUGAAUUAACAUUCAGACCACGGAUAUUAUUCAAUGUGAAAUUAGUAGUUAACAGGGAAUGAUGGACUUAAUAUCAAAUCAUUUAUAGAGAGUCCAAACCCUAAUGCUAUAUACCCACGUCAAUUUCAGACGCAUUAAAGCAAGUUUUAUCUAAUUGCCUUCGUCAAUAACACCAAGGAAGACCAUUUUUAAGAUACACACUUAAUUUUUUUGAUAAGUAAGAUACACAAAGGUUAUUGUCCAGGACAAUAUGAGUUUUAAUUAGUUAUAGAAUCAAUUCAAUCUUUUUGUUUUAUAAAACUCAUGUACCUAGGGCAAUUCAUUCUUAUUCCUUGAGCUAUCCUCCUACAAGGGGCUCUCUCUCUCUCUCUCAAUAUACAUAUUGGUAAGUUACACAUGCAACCGAUGGAUCUUGAACCCAUGACCUCAGCCUCCUACAACUCAAAACAUAGUCUUCAAACAGUUAAAAAUAAUUUCCCCAAGCUGAGC